CUCGUGUUGUGAAAUGUUGGUUAAGUCCCGCAACGAGCGCAACCCUUAUCCUUUGUUGCCAGCGAGUAAUGUCGGGAACUCAAAGGAGACUGCCGGUGAUAAACCGGAGGAAGGUGGGGAUGACGUCAAGUCAUCAUGGCCCUUACGAGUAGGGCUACACACGUGCUACAAUGGCAUGUACAAAGAGAAGCGAACUCGCGAGAGCAAGCGGACCUCAUAAAGUAUGUCGUAGUCCGGAUUGGAGUCUGCAACUCGACUCCAUGAAGUCGGAAUCGCUAGUAAUCGUAGAUCAGAAUGCUACGGUGAAUACGUUCCCGGGCCUU
Molecule: ribosomal RNA, 323 nt
Filed under: uncultured Enterobacteriaceae bacterium
Lineage: Bacteria; Pseudomonadati; Pseudomonadota; Gammaproteobacteria; Enterobacterales; Enterobacteriaceae
Description: bacterial SSU rRNA
Rfam family: Bacterial small subunit ribosomal RNA
Source: RNAcentral